GACGAACGCUGGCGGCGUGCUUAACACAUGCCAGUCGAACGGAAAGGCCCUGCUUUUGUUGGGUGCUCGAGUGGCGAACGGGUGAGUAACACGUGAGUAACCUGCCCUUGACUUUGGGAUAACUUCAGGAAACUGGGGCUAAUACCGGAUAGGAGCUCCUGCUGCAUGUUGGGGGUUGGAAAGUUUCGGCGGUUGGGGAUGGACUCGCGGCUUAUCAGCUUGUUGGUGGGGUAGUGGCUUACCAAGGCUUUGACGGGUAGCCGGCCUGAGAGGGUGACCGGCCACAUUGGGACUGAGAUACGGCCAAGACGCCUACGGGAGGCAGCAGUGGGGAAUAUUGCACAAUGGGCGGAAGCCUGAUGCAGCAACGCCGCGUGCGGGAUGACGGCCUUCGGGUUGUAAACCGCUUUCGCCUGUGACGAAGCGUGAGUGGCGGUAAUGGGUAAAGAAGCACCGGCUAACUACGUG
Molecule: ribosomal RNA, 468 nt
Filed under: uncultured bacterium
Lineage: Bacteria
Description: partial 16S ribosomal RNA
Rfam family: Bacterial small subunit ribosomal RNA
Source: RNAcentral